UACAUGCAAGUCGAGCGAACGGACGAGAAGCUUGCUUCUCUGAUGUUAGCGGCGGACGGGUGAGUAACACGUGGAUAACCUACCUAUAAGACUGGGAUAACUUCGGGAAACCGGAGCUAAUACCGGAUAAUAUUUUGAACCGCAUGGUUCAAAAGUGAAAGACGGUCUUGCUGUCACUUAUAGAUGGAUCCGCGCUGCAUUAGCUAGUUGGUAAGGUAACGGCUUACCAAGGCAACGAUGCAUAGCCGACCUGAGAGGGUGAUCGGCCACACUGGAACUGAGACACGGUCCAGACUCCUACGGGAGGCAGCAGUAGGGAAUCUUCCGCAAUGGGCGAAAGCCUGACGGAGCAACGCCGCGUGAGUGAUGAAGGUCUUCGGAUCGUAAAACUCUGUUAUUAGGGAAGAACAUAUGUGUAAGUAACUGUGCACAUCUUGACGGUACCUAAUCAGAAAGCCACGGCUAACUACGUGCCAGCAGCCGCGGUAAUACGUAGGUGGCAAGCGUUAUCCGGAAUUAUUGGGCGUAAAGCGCGCGUAGGCGGUUUUUUAAGUCUGAUGUGAAAGCCCACGGCUCAACCGUGGAGGGUCAUUGGAAACUGGAAAACUUGAGUGCAGAAGAGGAAAGUGGAAUUCCAUGUGUAGCGGUGAAAUGCGCAGAGAUAUGGAGGAACACCAGUGGCGAAGGCGACUUUCUGGUCUGUAACUGACGCUGAUGUGCGAAAGCG
Molecule: ribosomal RNA, 727 nt
Filed under: Staphylococcus sp. 'Staph. M2'
Lineage: Bacteria; Bacillati; Bacillota; Bacilli; Caryophanales; Staphylococcaceae
Description: bacterial SSU rRNA
Rfam family: Bacterial small subunit ribosomal RNA
Source: RNAcentral